CAUAGACAGUCCACAUACCCCACUGUCCGCCCGGGGACUACGAGCAUUAGCUUAAAACCCAAAGGACUUGGCGGUGCUUUAUACCCACCUAGAGGAGCCUGUUCUAGAACCGAUAACCCCCGUUCAACCUCACCCUUCCUUGUUCUUCCCGCCUAUAUACCGCCGUCGUCAGUUUACCCUGUGAAGGCCCAAUAGUAAGCAAAAUCGGCACAGCCCAAAACGUCAGGUCGAGGUGUAGCGUAUGGAAGGGGAAGAAAUGGGCUACAUUCCCUAUCAUAGGGCAUACGGAUGAUUACGCUGAAACGCAUAUCUGAAGGAGGAUUUAGCAGUAAGCAGAAA
Molecule: ribosomal RNA, 339 nt
Filed under: Pomacanthus xanthometopon (yellowface angelfish)
Lineage: Eukaryota; Metazoa; Chordata; Actinopteri; Pomacanthidae
Description: partial 12S ribosomal RNA
Rfam family: Bacterial small subunit ribosomal RNA
Source: RNAcentral